This is an RNA transcript of Triticum dicoccoides, 1186 nucleotides long. It is a transcript of the gene named protein enabled homolog, with no coding region annotated. The record is from RefSeq and is a predicted model, not a curated record. Lineage: Eukaryota; Viridiplantae; Streptophyta; Magnoliopsida; Poales; Poaceae. The transcript is spliced from 5 exons.
CGUCUCUUCCCAUCCCGCUCCCCUUGUCUAUGCCGCCGCCGCUGCUUCCCCUCUCCCUCUCCCCGCCUCCACCACCACCUCCUCUCCUGCCUCCUCCCCAACCAGCACAGCUAGAGGAGGUGACAGAUUGGGAGGCGGGCAAAAGGAACCAGGCGGUUCUCCUUCCAUGGUUGGGCCUCGACCUGCCACAUCUUCCUCCUCCCAGUCAGGCGAAGAGGAGUGGCGGAUCCGCUUCCUCAAGCGAGCAGGGGCGCACGGGGAUUCGGAUCUCGUUGCGAGAGGCCGCCACCACAGAAGUAGGUCCGCGGUGCCGUCACUCUGCUCAAGCUACUGAUUCAUCCCGUGCGGCGGCAGAAGGAGGUCCUGCAGCUUGCUUCCGUACUACUCCUUGCCGUGUGGGUCAAAAUCUCCAGCGGUGCUGUCGUCUGGGUGAGCCCCCCGUCACGGCUGAGACCAGCUCGCCGCCGUCGGCCAUGCCACUCUCGCCGGCGCACGGAGCACCUCCCCUCCAAGCACAGGUCGUUACAACGCCGAUUAUGGAUAUGGAUUCAUCCAGCUGCGCUGGAUGAAGGGAUGGUUGGAAUAAGAAUUGCAUGUGACAAACAAGUGCUUCCUCUAGAUGGGAUUCCAAAUGUCAGGUGGUUUGGUGUAGAGAGGGUGAUUACAAUGUUUUGGUGAUGGACCCACUGAGGCCAAGCCUUGAGCAUCUUUUCGUUUAGUUUUAUCUUUGUUUGCUGAGAUAAGCGAGAUAGUACUCAUUCCAAUUCCGGAUAAUUUGUCUGCAUAGCCUUCGAAUGGCACAUAGUGACCUCAGACUGGAGAAUGUUCAUGUAAGACCAGUAGACAAACGUUGUCAAAGAAAGAUUUCUGAUUCUCAGAGAAUUAUACUAUUGAGAUGUUCACAAAGGGCGUCCCUAAUGCAAGGAUGCACUUGAAUACUCUUCAGGAGAGCAGGAAAAAUUUGCAUAUUACCUAAAUAGGGUUUCCAUAUUAUUUAUUUAUUUGUUUUGCUUUUGUGCAACAAUUAGAUUUUCCGACACUAAUAUUGUUGUUUGUUGCAGACAUGGUUGUCACACAUGCGUCCUGUCCCAAUGGCUCAAAUUGUUGGUCCUCGCAUGGCAAUGUCCCUGCUUGUAUUCAUGGAGUUGGUCAGCAACUCUCUUAUGGCCAGCAACCUCCAAUGUUU